GGACCCGUGGCGAAAUUGGUUAUCGUACCUCCCUGUCACGGAGGGGGCUGCCGGUUCGAGUCCGGUCGGGUCCG
This 74-nucleotide transfer RNA is filed under the name Patescibacteria group bacterium. Its description in RNAcentral is "tRNA-Asp". It matches the Rfam family "tRNA". Rfam says of the family: Transfer RNA (tRNA) molecules are approximately 80 nucleotides in length. Their secondary structure includes four short double-helical elements and three loops (D, anti-codon, and T loops). Further hydrogen bonds mediate the characteristic L-shaped molecular structure. tRNAs have two regions of fundamental functional importance: the anti-codon, which is responsible for specific mRNA codon recognition, and the 3' end, to which the tRNAs corresponding amino acid is attached (by aminoacyl-tRNA synthetases). tRNAs cope with the degeneracy of the genetic code in two manners: having more than one tRNA (with a specific anti-codon) for a particular amino acid; and 'wobble' base-pairing, i.e. permitting non-standard base-pairing at the 3rd anti-codon position. RNAcentral also lists the same sequence under 2 other names. The record is from RNAcentral.